This is a non-coding RNA of Lachancea meyersii CBS 8951, 520 nucleotides long. The record is from the annotation of a GenBank genome assembly. NCBI's taxonomy places the organism in Eukaryota, Fungi, Ascomycota, Saccharomycetes, Saccharomycetales, Saccharomycetaceae.
AUACUUACCUUAAGAUGUCAGAGGAGAUCAAGAAGUCCUUCUGGCCAAAUAUGUCUUUCUAAAGCGAUGCUUGUCUUUUACAGGAGACAGGUUUGCUUGCUGAGUCUCAUUUGCAGACUGCACAUACUUGCGAAAGGUGUAUUUGCUGACGUUUCGUUUUCUCGUUCCGGUAGCGUGCCAUGGUUUUCCGUAUGGAGGAUUGUGACGUGGUACUUGGGGCCCUUUGUUUCUUCUGCCUGGAGAAGUAUGGUGCUGAUUACAAGUCAGCGCUGGGAAAGUCGGGCGUGGAUUUUGUUCGCUUUAAGUAUAGAGGUUUCAGCUCGAUGUGACAACAGUCGAUUCCUGUGUAUAGGCAUAAGUUUUGUCGUUGUUUGUGGAUCUUGUCUUCGGAUGGAACCGCGGAUGGCAGCAGAACGUGCCGCUGUUGCAUGGAGAAGGUGGCUGUUGCGAAGCCUCUGUAUAGGACAAGAAUCAUGCUUGGUAGAAACGGGUAGGUCUUAUAAUUUUUGAUGUCAAUCUU